This 447-nucleotide ribosomal RNA is filed under the name uncultured bacterium. RNAcentral describes it as "bacterial SSU rRNA". It matches the Rfam family "Bacterial small subunit ribosomal RNA", at positions 355 to 825 of the family's 1533-position model. The record is from RNAcentral.
UCGGGAAUUUUGGGCAAUGGGCGAAAGCCUGACCCAGCAACGCCGCGUGAAGGAUGAAGUAUUUCGGUAUGUAAACUUCGAAAGAAUAGGAAGAAUAAAUGACGGUACUAUUUAUAAGGUCCGGCUAACUACGUGCCAGCAGCCGCGGUAAUACGUAGGGACCAAGCGUUGUUCGGAUUUACUGGGCGUAAAGGGCGCGUAGGUGGUCUUGUGUGUCUAUCGUGAAAGCACACGGCUCAACCGUGUAAAGUCGGUGGAAACUGCAGGACUUGAGGUUGGGAGGGGCUGGUGGAAUUCCCUGUGUAGCGGUGAAAUGCGUAGAUAUAGGAAGGAACACCAGUGGCGAAGGCGACCACCUGGACUGAUACUGACACUGAGGUGCGAAAGCGUGGGGAGCAAACAGGAUUAGAUACCCAUGUAGUCCCUGAGCGGGCUGGCAAGGCGCAU